GACGAACGCUGACGGCGUGCUUAACACAUGCAAGUCGAAGGGAGUGGCGAACGGGUGAGUAACACGUGAGUAACCUGCCCUUUUCUUUGGGAUAAGCCUGGGACACUGGGUCUAAUACUGGAUGGUUUGGGAUGGGUUCGCGGCUUAUCAGCUUGUUGGUGGGGUGAUGUCUUACCAAGGCUUUGACGGGUAGCCGGAAUGAGAGGGUGGUCGGUCACACUGGGACUGCGUUAAGGCCCCGACUCCUACGGGAGGCAGCAGUGGGGGGUAUUGCACAAUGGACGAAAGGCUGAUGCGGAGACGUCGUGUGGGGGAUGAAGGCCUUCGGGUUGUAAACUCCUUUCGCCCGCGGAAUGGUAGUGGGUAAAGAAGCGCCGGCUAACUACGUGCCAGCCGCCGCGGUAAUAC
Molecule: ribosomal RNA, 408 nt
Filed under: uncultured bacterium
Lineage: Bacteria
Description: partial 16S ribosomal RNA
Rfam family: Bacterial small subunit ribosomal RNA
Source: RNAcentral